GGCUGGGAACCUCAAAUCUGGCUCCUGUUCUCCCAGGGUGGGCAUGCAGCUGGGGGCUGGAGGAAAUGGGGGCUACCAGGGAAAGGGCUUAAAAUAAAGGGAUCUGGACUCCUGGAGGUGUGAUCUGAGGGUGCCUAGGGUCAGGGUGAGAGGACAAGGAGUGCAGCCUCAAACAGGGUUGAAAGCCUGUGAAAGUCCCUCCUCCACAGAGAACCCCGCCUCUCCAGAAACUGACCCUAACACACUGCUAGCUGAAGUCCUUGAAGGGAGACCUGGACUCAUGAGGCAUUGUAGGGGCCAGAGCUGGAAGAAGAGGGGUGGCAGAGGCCAGGAGACCGGGGAGGGGGAGCAGAGGCAGACCCAGAGGCUAGAGACACAGCGUGAUUGAGGUUGAGACCAAGACUCAGGGACUGGCUGCAGAGACAGAGACAGAAUGGCAGCAAGAGACAGAAGGAAAGAGACCCAAGGUGGCAGCCUGGGUGUCUGAAAAGCAGAGAGGAGUCAUAUGGGUACCAGGCUAGAGAAUGGGUGGCUGAGAGGGCAGAGGGGCUUUCAGUAUGUGUGAUGGACAGGAAGGGGCAGCUUCAGCUGAGGGGGUUAGACCAGGCCACCCUGGAGGAGAACUUCAUUCUGGGAGAGGGGGCAGCCAGGAGGGGCUGUGGGAUGGAAGCUAGAGAGAGGACCCUUCCCACCACUGUCUUCUCCCUCUCCUCCUAGGGGGCCCCCCCGGGUGGCUGUGGCUGCGCCUCUCCUCCCCCAGAGCAGACACACACCUGACAGUCCUUUCCUUCCCGAGGGAAGAGGGAAGCCGGAGGCGAGCCGGCGACCGGAGAGGGAGGCGGGACGAGGAGGGAGAAGGAAAGGGAGAGAGGAGUGGGAAAUAGGAGAGUGGGAAAGGGAAGGGGAGAGGAGAGAGAAGGAACAGGGGAAGGAAAGGAGAGCGGGAAAAGGAAGAGACGGGAAAGGAGAGAGAGGUGGAGGAAGAAAACAGCAAAGAGGAAGAGGAGAUGGAGCAAGACAGGGUAAGAAGGAGAGAGAAGGGUUGGGGAGACAGAGGGAAGGGGCAGAGAAGGCAAACAGGCAGAGAGAAGGCUGGGUGAAGAGAGAUCGAGGGAGAGGAAAAUGGUUAAAAGAGGGAGAGAGGUGCGAGGGAAGAAGGGAAAGCUGGAGAGCGCGGGAGAAGGGAGCCGGCAUGGGCUCCCAGCCGCGGAGCGCACCGCUCACCGCUCUGAAGAUACCCGCAGGCUGCGGGCCCCCUGCUGCCCCUGCGCGAAUUCCCGACCGCGGGCUCCGAGCAGAAGCC
RNAcentral lists this long non-coding RNA (1303 nucleotides) under Sus scrofa (pig). RNAcentral describes it as "lncRNA (ENSSSCG00005005337.1)". Lineage: Eukaryota; Metazoa; Chordata; Mammalia; Artiodactyla; Suidae. The record is from RNAcentral.